Molecule: unclassified non-coding RNA, 200 nt
Filed under: Fusarium sp.
Lineage: Eukaryota; Fungi; Ascomycota; Sordariomycetes; Hypocreales; Nectriaceae
Description: partial internal transcribed spacer 2
Source: RNAcentral
UUAAGUUCAGCGGGUAUUCCUACCUGAUCCGAGGUCAACCUUCAGAAGUUGGGUGUUUUACGGCGUGGCCGCGCCGCUCUCCAGUUGUGAGGUGUUAGCUACUACGCAAUGGAAGCUGCGGCGGGACCGCCACUGUAUUUGGGGGACGGCGUGUGCCCACGGGGGGCUCCGCCGAUCCCCAACGCCAGGCCCGGGGGCCU